RNAcentral lists this ribosomal RNA (1016 nucleotides) under uncultured bacterium. Its description in RNAcentral is "bacterial SSU rRNA". It matches the Rfam family "Bacterial small subunit ribosomal RNA", at positions 355 to 1375 of the family's 1533-position model. The record is from RNAcentral.
UGAGGAAUAUUGGUCAAUGGACGAGAGUCUGAACCAGCCAAGUAGCGUGAAGGAUGACUGCCCUAUGGGUUGUAAACUUCUUUUAUACGGGAAUAAAGUGAGGCACGUGUGCCUUUUUGUAUGUACCGUAUGAAUAAGGAUCGGCUAACUCCGUGCCAGCAGCCGCGGUAAUACGGAGGAUCCGAGCGUUAUCCGGAUUUAUUGGGUUUAAAGGGAGCGUAGGCGGACGCUUAAGUCAGUUGUGAAAGUUUGCGGCUCAACCGUAAAAUUGCAGUUGAUACUGGGUGUCUUGAGUACAGUAGAGGCAGGCGGAAUUCGUGGUGUAGCGGUGAAAUGCUUAGAUAUCACGAAGAACUCCGAUUGCGAAGGCAGCUUGCUGGACUGUAACUGACGCUGAUGCUCGAAAGUGUGGGUAUCAAACAGGAUUAGAUACCCUGGUAGUCCACACAGUAAACGAUGAAUACUCGCUGUUUGCGAUAUACAGCAAGCGGCCAAGCGAAAGCAUUAAGUAUUCCACCUGGGGAGUACGCCGGCAACGGUGAAACUCAAAGGAAUUGACGGGGGCCCGCACAAGCGGAGGAACAUGUGGUUUAAUUCGAUGAUACGCGAGGAACCUUACCCGGGCUUAAAUUGCAACUGACGGAUUUGGAAACAGAUCUUCCUUCGGGCAGUUGUGAAGGUGCUGCAUGGUUGUCGUCAGCUCGUGCCGUGAGGUGUCGGCUUAAGUGCCAUAACGAGCGCAACCCUUAUCUUUAGUUACUAACAGGUCAUGCUGAGGACUCUAGAGAGACUGCCGUCGUAAGAUGUGAGGAAGGUGGGGAUGACGUCAAAUCAGCACGGCCCUUACGUCCGGGGCUACACACGUGUUACAAUGGGGGGUACAGAAGGCAGCUACACAGCGAUGUGAUGCUAAUCCCAAAAGCCUCUCUCAGUUCGGAUUGGAGUCUGCAACCCGACUCCAUGAAGCUGGAAUCGCUAGUAAUCGCAGAUCAGAAUGCUGCGGUGAAUACGUUCCC